GACGAACGCUGGCGGCGUGCUUAACACAUGCAAGUCGAACGAGUGGCGAACGGGUGAGUAAUACGUGAGUAACCUGCCCUCUUUAUGGGAUAAGCCUUGGAAACUGGGUCUAAUACCGGAUAAAGGGGGAUGGGCUCGCGGCCUAUCAGCUUGUUGGUGGGGUGAUGGCCUACCAAGGCGGUGACGGGUAGCCGGCCUGAGAGGGUGACUGGGCACAUUGGGACUGACAAACGGCCCAGGCGAGGAAGGGAGGCGACAGUGGGGAAAAUUGCACAAUGGGCGAAAGCGUGAUGCAGCGUGGCCGCGUGGGGGUUGAGGGCUUUCGGGUUGUAAGCCUCGUUCGCAAGCGAACGGGUAAGUGAAGAAGAAGCCCCGGCUAACUACGUGCCAGCAGCCGCGGUAAUUC
This 406-nucleotide ribosomal RNA is filed under the name uncultured bacterium. Its description in RNAcentral is "partial 16S ribosomal RNA". It matches the Rfam family "Bacterial small subunit ribosomal RNA", at positions 28 to 526 of the family's 1533-position model. The record is from RNAcentral.